This 1441-nucleotide ribosomal RNA is filed under the name uncultured Bordetella sp. RNAcentral describes it as "partial 16S-23S ribosomal RNA intergenic spacer". It matches the Rfam family "Bacterial small subunit ribosomal RNA". The record is from RNAcentral. Lineage: Bacteria; Pseudomonadati; Pseudomonadota; Betaproteobacteria; Burkholderiales; Alcaligenaceae.
GUUUCGAUCUGGCUCCGAUUGAACGCUGGCGGGGAUGUUUUUACGCACAGUCGAACGGCAGCACGGACUUCAGUCCCCGGUUGGCGAGUGGCGAACAGGUGAUGUGUAUCGGAACGUGCCUAAUGCUGGCGGGGAUAACUACGCGAAAGCGCUAAUACCACAUACGCCCUUCGGGGAAAGCGGGGACCUUCCGGGCUCGCACUAUUAAACGGCCGAUAUCGGAUUAGCUAGUUGGUGGGGUAACGGCUCACCAAGGCGACGAUCCGUAGCUGGUUUGAGAGGACGACCAGCCACACUGGGACUGAGACACGACCCAGACUCCUACGGGAGGCGGCAGUGGGGAAUUUUGGACAAUGGGGGAAACCCUGAUCCAGCCAUCCGCGUGUGCAUUGAAGGCCUUCGGGUUGUAAAGCACUUUUGGCAGGAAAGAAACGGCACGGGAUAAUACGUGCAACUGACGUACCUGCAGAAUAAGCACCGGUAACUACGUGCCAGCGGCCGCGGUAAUACGUAGGGUGCAAGCAUAAUCAGAUUACUGGGCGUAAAAGCGGCCGCAGGGCGGCGUUUCCGGAAGAAGAUGUGAAAUCCCAGAGCUUAACUUUGGAACUGCAUUUUUAACUGCCGAGCCAGAGUGUUAUCAGAGGGAGUGGGCCGCGUGUAGCAGUGAAAUGCGUAGAUAUGCGGAGGAACACCGAUGGCGAGCGGCCUCCUGGGAUAACACUGACGCUCAUGCACGAAAGCGUGGGGAGCAAACAGGGUUCGUCCCUGGUAAUCCACGCCCUAAACGAUGUCAACUAGCUGUUGGGGCCUUCGGGCCUUGGUAGCGCAACUAACGUGAAGUUGACCGCCUGGGAAGUACGGUCGCAGAUUAAACUCAAAGGAAUUGACGGGGACCGCACCAAGCGGUGGAUGACUAUGGAUUAAUUCGAUGCAACGCGAAAAACCUACCUUGACAUGUCUGGAAUCCCGAAGAGAUUUGGGAGUGCUCGCAAAGAAACCGGAACUUGCCGGUGCUGCAUGGCUGUCGUCAGCUCGUGUCGUGAGAUGUUGGUUCGUCCCGCAACGAAGCGCAACUGCUGUCAUUGGUUGCCCACAGGGCACUCUAAUGCGUUGCCGAUCAAACCGGAGGAAGGUGGGGAUGACGUCAGUCCUCAUGGCCCAUAUGGGUAGGGCUUCACGGUCAUACAAUGGUCGGGACAGAGGGUCGCCAACCCGCGAGGAGCCAAUCAGAAACCCGAUCAUAGUCGGAUCGCAAUCUACAACUCUGACUGCGUGAAGUCGAAUCACCAAUAAUCGCGGAUCAGCAUGUCGCGAUGAACACAUUACAGUCUUGUACACCGCCCGUCACACCAUGGAAUCAGGUUUUACCAGAAAUGGUUAGCCUAACCCGUAGGAGGGCGAUUACGGAUUCAUGACUGGGGUGAAGUCAUCAUCAAAAUCG